This is a long non-coding RNA of Sardina pilchardus (European sardine), 186 nucleotides long. RefSeq lists it as uncharacterized. NCBI's taxonomy places the organism in Eukaryota, Metazoa, Chordata, Actinopteri, Clupeiformes, Clupeidae. The record is from RefSeq and is a predicted model, not a curated record. The transcript is spliced from 3 exons.
CGAUGAAGGAAGAUGGCGUGAAUUGUCACAGCUGCCAACAAUGAAGACAUGGUAUGCGGAGUUCAGAACAGCACAGUGAAUGUGAUUAAAUGAGGAUCUGCAAAAGACAGAAGGCAUUUUUGCUUUUUUUUUUCAGACGAGAGUGCUGUCUCUGCUGGUUGAUUAAAAGGCUGGAGUUCUUCUGAG